UGAUGUUGGUGAGGGCAAUUUCUGAUCAUACUUUUAAAUCUCUCCCAAGCUUGGUAGAGAUUCACUCCUUCUUUCUGUCUGAAACUCAAAAUCUCACUUCUCAAACG
Molecule: non-coding RNA, 107 nt
Organism: Capsicum annuum
Lineage: Eukaryota; Viridiplantae; Streptophyta; Magnoliopsida; Solanales; Solanaceae
Source: Rfam